GAUGAACGCUGGCGGCGUGCCUAAUACAUGCAAGUCGAGCGAACAGAUGAGGAGCUUGCUCCUCUGACGUUAGCGGCGGACGGGUGAGUAACACGUGGAUAACCUACCUAUAAGACUGGGAUAACUUCGGGAAACCGGAGCUAAUACCGGAUAAUAUAUUGAACCGCAUGGUUCAAUAGUGAAAGACGGUUUUGCUGUCACUUAUAGAUGGAUCCGCGCCGCAUUAGCUAGUUGGUAAGGUAACGGCUUACCAAGGCAACGAUGCGUAGCCGACCUGAGAGGGUGAUCGGCCACACUGGAACUGAGACACGGUCCAGACUCCUACGGGAGGCAGCAGUAGGAAAUCUUCCGCAAUGGGCGAAAGCCUGACGGAGCAACGCCGCGUGAGUGAUGAAGGUCUUCGGAUCGUAAAACUCUGUUAUUAGGGAAGAACAAAUGUGUAAGUAACUAUGCACGUCUUGACGGUACCUAAUCAGAAAGCCACGGCUAACUACGU
Molecule: ribosomal RNA, 496 nt
Filed under: uncultured bacterium
Lineage: Bacteria
Description: partial 16S ribosomal RNA
Rfam family: Bacterial small subunit ribosomal RNA
Source: RNAcentral